AUUGAACGCUGGCGGCAUGCCUUACACAUGCAAGUCGAACGGCAGCACGGGAGCAAUCCUGGUGGCGAGUGGCGAACGGGUGAGUAAAGUAUCGGAACGUGCCCAGUCGUGGGGGAUAACGUAGCGAAAGUUACGCUAAUACCGCAUACGAUCUAUGGAUGAAAGCGGGGGAUCGCAAUACCUCGCGCGAUUGGAGCGGCCGAGAUCAGAGUAGGUAGUUGGUGGGGUAAAGGCUCACCAAGCCGACGAUCCGUAGCUGGUCUGAGAGGACGACCAGCCACACUGGGACUGAGACACGGCCCAGACUCCUACGGGAGGCAGCAGUGGGGAAUUUUGGACAAUGGGCGAAAGCCUGAUCCAGCCAUGCCGCGUGCAGGAUGAAGGCCUUCGGGUUGUAAACUGCUUUUGUACGGAACGAAAAGGUUUGGCCUAAUAAGCUGAGCUCAUGACGGUACCGUAAGAAUAAGCACCGGCUAACUACGUGCCAGCCGCCGCAGUAA
This 500-nucleotide ribosomal RNA is filed under the name uncultured bacterium. RNAcentral's name for it is "partial 16S ribosomal RNA". It matches the Rfam family "Bacterial small subunit ribosomal RNA", at positions 30 to 523 of the family's 1533-position model. The record is from RNAcentral.